Molecule: transfer RNA, 73 nt
Filed under: Patulibacter sp.
Lineage: Bacteria; Bacillati; Actinomycetota; Thermoleophilia; Solirubrobacterales; Patulibacteraceae
Also listed under: 2 other names
Description: tRNA-Arg
Rfam family: tRNA
About the family: Transfer RNA (tRNA) molecules are approximately 80 nucleotides in length. Their secondary structure includes four short double-helical elements and three loops (D, anti-codon, and T loops).
Source: RNAcentral
GCGCCCGUAGCUCAGUGGAUAGAGUGUCUGCCUCCGGAGCAGAAAGUCGCAAGUUCGAAUCUUGCCGGGCGCG